CUUCAUCGUAUUUUCUCUUUUCUCUCUCCCAUCGUUCCCAUCUCUCUUCUCAAGCGACUGAUAGGCACGCCUCUCCUCGAUCCGCCGGCUUGCUUCUCCGGCGAGCUCCCCCGCCGCUAUAACCUCGUACCCUCCAUUCUCCUCCCCCCUCCCACCUCAUCGACCCUCUCUUUCCCGCUGAAGGCUGCAAGGGGCGGAUGGGUAGAUGCUGCGCCCAGCCACCAUCCCUGCAAACGGCGAGCUCAAGCGAUACCGAUGAUGCAACCAGCUCCGAGGGUUGCUACAACCAGCAUCAUGCGGUGCUACAACCAGCACUGCGGGCAGCUAGAACUGGCUGCUCCAGAGGUGCGACGGCACGCCGCCGUUUGCUGAAACCGGCACUACGGGAAGCUGCAACCAGCUUUGUGAAUAGCUGCAACCAGUAGUCUGCGGUGCUACGACCAGCAGAGGGCGGCGAGGAGAGAGGUAUUUUUUGCUGGAACCAUGUAUCGAUUUUGCUACAACCUGCAAUUUUUUUUUGCUAGAACCAUCGAUGAGAACAACACGACGAGGGAGCUGCAUCGUUUUUUGCUGGAACCGUAGUUCAUUUUUGCUGGAAGCACUAUAUUUUUUUGCUGGAACCAGUUUUUGGUUUUGUUGCAGCUGACCACCGGAGUUCUUUUUGAUUGAGAUGUGUUUUUUCGCUGGAAUUCGGUGGUGCAGGUCGACCACGGCGGCGAGCUAGGGGCGGUGACGCCGUGCUAUGUUGAGCGACGUGAAUUACUGACCCGCGUUUGACGGAGCUGCAUCCGGCAAGGGAUGAUGCUGGAACCACUGCGAGAUGAGGAGGGCGUGCGACGACGAUGGAUUCAAGCAGCGGAGAGAGGCGGCGAGCGGUGGAGAUCCGGCGGAUCAUGUCACUCAUCCAUGGCGCUCGUGCCCCUGUGCGUGCUCGCGUGAUUUGCAGGGGAAAAGAAAAAAAGGAAAGUGUAUGAUAGAGAUGAAAGAGUUGUAAAUUUGAUGGAUAAAAAGUGUUUAAUCUGACGUACAGGGUACGACCGGCCCUAAUUUAGGCCGGUGCACCGGCGCCUAGCGCUGCCCUUUUUGUAUGGCACUGGGACUUGAUCGAUAGCACCUUCCUAUUGCGUCACGUGAGGAAGGUCCAAAAGGAGUACUAGUCUAUUUAGAAAGUUGCGUUGCUAAGGAAAGAAGGGAUCAGCCGCAACCAAAAAAAAGUUACACACAAGGUGGGAUUCGGUUGUGUUCUAAGAGCAAUUUAAAUGGGGUGAUCCAUCGUCCGCCCGCGUCUGUUUGGGUCGGUGCGGGCAAAAUGUGGUCCAACG
Molecule: long non-coding RNA, 1322 nt
Filed under: Triticum aestivum (bread wheat)
Lineage: Eukaryota; Viridiplantae; Streptophyta; Magnoliopsida; Poales; Poaceae
Description: long non-coding RNA (TAES_LNC013321)
Source: RNAcentral